AAGACCUUGCGCUUUUGGAGCGGCCGAUGCCUGAUUAGCUUGUUGGUGAGGUAAAAGCUUACCAAGGCUUCGAUCAGUAGCUGGUCUGAGAGGACGGCCAGCCACACUGGGACUGAGACACGGCCCAGACUCCUACGGGAGGCAGCAGUGGGGAAUUUUGGACAAUGGGGGCAACCCUGAUCCAGCCAUGCCGCGUGAGUGAAGAAGGCCUUCGGGUUGUAAAGCUCUUUCAGCCGGAACGAAACGGUUACGGUUAAUACCCGUGACUACUGACGGUACCGGAAGAAGAAGCACCGGCUAACUACGUGCCAGCAGCCGCGGUAAUACGUAGGGUGCAAGCGUUAAUCGGAAUUACUGGGCGUAAAGCGUGCGCAGGUGGUUUUGUAAGUCAGAUGUGAAAUCCCCGGGCUUAACCUGGGAACU
This 423-nucleotide ribosomal RNA is filed under the name uncultured bacterium. Its description in RNAcentral is "bacterial SSU rRNA". It matches the Rfam family "Bacterial small subunit ribosomal RNA", at positions 207 to 622 of the family's 1533-position model. The record is from RNAcentral.